Molecule: ribosomal RNA, 497 nt
Filed under: Fusobacterium varium
Lineage: Bacteria; Fusobacteriati; Fusobacteriota; Fusobacteriia; Fusobacteriales; Fusobacteriaceae
Description: bacterial LSU rRNA
Rfam family: Bacterial large subunit ribosomal RNA
Source: RNAcentral
GGUUAAAAUAAUUAAGGGCACACAGGGAAUGCCUAGGUAGUAAUGAGCCGAUGAAGGACGUGGUAAGCUGCGAUAAGCUUGGGUUAGCUGCAAACGAGCGCCAAUCCCAAGAUUUCCGAAUGGAGCAAUCUGCUAAGAUGGAGUCUUAGCACGAAAGAGGGUACCGAGUGAACUGAAACAUCUAAGUAACUCGAGGAAAAGAAAGUAAAAACGAUUCCCCAAGUAGCGGCGAGCGAACGGGGAUGAGCCUAAACNCAUAUAAGUGUCAAGGAUACAGCCGUUGCUUAUAUGGGGUUGUGGGAAGAACGUUUGAAGAACUGUAAGAUAUUCAACAUAUCUAAUGACCGAACUGGAACUAGUUGGAAAGCUAGAUCGUAGAAGGUGAUAAUCCUGUACAGGUAAACUCAUUAGAAUGUAUGUUNUNUCCCAAGUAACNUGGAACACGAGGAAUUCUGUGUGAAUCUGCGAGGACCAUAUNUCGUAAGGCUAAAUACUCU